Molecule: long non-coding RNA, 303 nt
Organism: Cyprinus carpio carpio
Lineage: Eukaryota; Metazoa; Chordata; Actinopteri; Cypriniformes; Cyprinidae
Source: Ensembl
UUUUUUCAGUAAUAUAAAAUUAAUGCAUGAAAUCAGCAGCCUUAUUGCAAUAUUACAUUAAGAGUCUUCAGUGAUCUACUCACAGUCUGUACAGUUUAUAUUAGUGGAGUGUUAAACGUGUGAGAAAGUGUGUGUUUCUUUCUUCAGGUCUGUUGUGCUGAAAAGUUCGAGAAAGGAUUCAUCAAAUGAUGUGAAUCCAUUAAAUGUGAUGUCAGAAAGAUCAAGACAUUAUUUAUAAAGAGAGAAAUGCUGCAGGUUAAUGGAACUGGACAGAAAGUGCAGGACAAAGACAAUUUAUGCUUU